AUUGAACGCUGGCGGCAGGCCUAACACAUGCAAGUCGAGCGGAUGAAGGGAGCUUGCUCCUGGAUUCAGCGGCGGACGGGUGAGUAAUGCCUAGGAAUCUGCCUGGUAGUGGGGGAUAACGUCCGGAAACGGGCGCUAAUACCGCAUACGUCCUGAGGGAGAAAGUGGGGGAUCUUCGGACCUCACGCUAUCAGAUGAGCCUAGGUCGGAUUAGCUAGUUGGUGGGGUAAAGGCCUACCAAGGCGACGAUCCGUAACUGGUCUGAGAGGAUGAUCAGUCACACUGGAACUGAGACACGGUCCAGACUCCUACGGGAGGCAGCAGUGGGGAAUAUUGGACAAUGGCGAAAGCCUGAUCCAGCCAUGCCGCGUGUGUGAAGAAGGUCUUCGGAUUGUAAAGCACUUUAAGUUGGGAGGAAGGGCAGUAAGUUAAUACCUUGCUGUUUUGACGUUACCAACAGAAUAAGAACCGGCUAACUUCGUG
Molecule: ribosomal RNA, 483 nt
Filed under: uncultured bacterium
Lineage: Bacteria
Description: partial 16S ribosomal RNA
Rfam family: Bacterial small subunit ribosomal RNA
Source: RNAcentral